UACGAAGGGGGCUAGCGUUGCUCGGAAUCACUGGGCGUAAAGCGCACGUAGGCGGAUUCUUAAGUUAGGGGUGAAAUCCUGGAGCUCAACUCCAGAACUGCCUUUGAUACUGGGAGUCUUCGAGUCCGGGAGAGGUGAGUGGAACUGCGAGUGUAGAGGUGAAAUUCGUAGAUAUUCGGAAGAACACCAGUGGCGAAGGCGGCUCACUGGUCCGGUACUGACGCUGAUGUGCGAAAGCGUGGGGAGCAAACAGG
RNAcentral lists this ribosomal RNA (254 nucleotides) under uncultured bacterium. Its description in RNAcentral is "partial 16S ribosomal RNA". It matches the Rfam family "Bacterial small subunit ribosomal RNA", at positions 524 to 776 of the family's 1533-position model. The record is from RNAcentral.